CCCUUAGAUGUCCGGGGCCGCACGCGCGCUACACUGAAGGAAUCAGCGUGGCUUUCUCCCUGACCCGAAAGGGUUGGGAAACCCGUUGAAUCUCCUUCGUGAUAGGGAUUGGGGCUUGAAAUUGUUCCCCAUGAACGAGGAAUUCCCAGUAAGCGCGAGUCAUAAGCUCGCGUUGAUUACGUCCCUGCCCUUUGUACACACCGCCCGUCGCUACUACCGAUUGAACGGUUUAGUGAGAUCUUCGGAUUGGCGCCACUGCGGCUCAGCAAUGGGCUCGGUGGAUGCCGAAAAGUUGAUCAAACUUGAUCAUUUAGAGGAAGUAAAAGUCGUAACA
RNAcentral lists this ribosomal RNA (334 nucleotides) under uncultured eukaryote. RNAcentral's name for it is "partial 18S ribosomal RNA". It matches the Rfam family "Eukaryotic small subunit ribosomal RNA", at positions 1470 to 1796 of the family's 1831-position model. The record is from RNAcentral.